GAAAUGCGAUAAGUAAUGUGAAUUGCAGAAUCCAGUGAAUCAUCGAAUCUUUGAACGCAACUUGCGCCCUCCGGUAUUCCGGAGGGCAUGCCUGUUUGAGUGUCGUGAACAACUCGACCCUCCGACGUUUGUUUUUUUUUUGUUCAUCUUCUUGCGUCGAAGGCGUCGGUGGUGAGCGUUGCCGGACUCUGGAACCCGGCUCGCUUCAAAAUCAUUAGCUGGAUCCAUCCCGACCUGGUUCUACUCGGCGUAAUAAAGUCGUCAUCGUCGUCGAGGACGCUCGGCCUUCUGGGCGGGCGGCCACAGUAAGGGUGUUUGAACCGCUUCUAACGCGUCCCCGCUCUUCGGAGCCGGACACUUUUUGAACGCUCUGACCUCAAAUCAGGCAGGACUACCCGCUGAACUUAAGC
RNAcentral lists this unclassified non-coding RNA (410 nucleotides) under plant metagenome. RNAcentral describes it as "partial contains 5.8S ribosomal RNA, internal transcribed spacer 2, and large subunit ribosomal RNA". The stretch from base 1 to 105 matches the Rfam family "5.8S ribosomal RNA", at positions 50 to 154 of the family's 154-position model. The record is from RNAcentral.